AGAGUUUGAUCAUGGCUCAGAACGAACGCUGGCGGCGUGGAUAAGACAUGCAAGUCGAACGAGAUUUUUUCCUGUAGCAAUACAGGGAAAAGUCUAGUGGCGAACGGGUGCGUAACACGUGGGCAAUCUGCCUUAAAGUGGGGGAUAGCUCGGCGAAAGCCGAAUUAAUACCGCAUGUGAUCAGAGGGGACAUCCCUUCGAAAUCAAAGUCGGGGCAACCUGACGCUUUUUGAGGAGCCCGCGGCCUAUCAGCUAGUUGGCGAGGUAAUGGCUCACCAAGGCUCUGACGGGUAGCUGGUCUGAGAGGACGACCAGUCACACUGGAACUGAGACACGGUCCAGACACCUACGGGUGGCAGCAGUCGAGAAUUUUUCUCAAUGGGGGAAACCCUGAAGGAGCGACGCCGCGUGGAGGAUGAAGGUCUUCGGGUUGUAAACUCCUGUCAUUUGGGAACAAGUUGGACGCCGUAACUGCGCGUCCAUUGAUAGUACCAGAAGAGGAAGGGACGGCUAACUCUGUGCCAGCAGCCGCGGUAAUACAGAGGUCUCAAGCGUUGUUCGGAUUCAUUGGGCGUAAAGGGUGUGUAGGUGGCGCGCUAAGUCGGGUGUGAAAUUUCGGAGCUUAACUCCGAAACUGCAUUCGAUACUGGCGUGCUUGAGGACUGGAGAGGAGACUGGAAUUCAUGGUGUAGCAGUGAAAUGCGUAGAGAUCAUGAGGAAGACCAGUGGCGAAGGCGGGUCUCUGGACAGUUCCUGACACUGAGACACGAAGGCCAGGGGAGCAAACGGGAUUAGAUACCCUAGUAGUCC
This 810-nucleotide ribosomal RNA is filed under the name uncultured bacterium. RNAcentral's name for it is "bacterial SSU rRNA". It matches the Rfam family "Bacterial small subunit ribosomal RNA", at positions 8 to 796 of the family's 1533-position model. The record is from RNAcentral.